UGCAGUCGAGCGGUAAGGCUCCUUCGGGGGUACACGAGCGGCGAACGGGUGAGUAACACGUGAGUAAUCUGCCCCUCACUUCGGGAUAAGCCUCGGAAACGAGGUCUAAUACCGGAUACGACCACUUCCUGCAUGGGAUGGUGGUGGAAAGUUUUUUCGGUGGGGGAUGUGCUCGCGGCCUAUCAGCUUGUUGGUGGGGUAAUGGCCUACCAAGGCUUCGACGGGUAGCCGGCCUGAGAGGGUGACCGGCCACACUGGGACUGAGACACGGCCCAGACUCCUACGGGAGGCAGCAGUGGGGAAUAUUGGACAAUGGGCGGAAGCCUGAUCCAGCAACGCCGCGUGAGGGAUGACGGCCUUCGGGUUGUAAACCUCUUUCAGCGGGGACGAAGCGCAAGUGACGGUACCCGCAGAAGAAGCACCGGCCAACUACGUGCCAGCAGCCGCGGUAAUACGUAGGGUGCGAGCGUUGUCCGGAAUUAUUGGGCGUAAAGGGCUCGUAGGCGGUUUGUCGCGUCGGGAGUGAAAACACCGGGCUUAACUCGGUGCUUGCUUUCGAUACGGGCAGACUAGAGGUAUUCAGGGGAGAACGGAAUUCCUGGUGUAGCGGUGAAAUGCGCAGAUAUCAGGAGGAACACCGGUGGCGAAGGCGGUUCUCUGGGAAUAUCCUGACGCUGAGGAGCGAAAGUGUGGGGAGCGAACAGGAUUAGAUACCCUGGUAGUCCACACCGUAAACGUUGGGCGCUAGGU
This 750-nucleotide ribosomal RNA is filed under the name Nocardioides sp. RNAcentral's name for it is "bacterial SSU rRNA". It matches the Rfam family "Bacterial small subunit ribosomal RNA", at positions 56 to 821 of the family's 1533-position model. Lineage: Bacteria; Bacillati; Actinomycetota; Actinomycetes; Propionibacteriales; Nocardioidaceae. The record is from RNAcentral.